GGGGGAGUUGAUGGCCUGCUGCCGGCUCGCUGUGGCUGACCAACCGGCCAUGCGCGCGCCGUGCCGUGGACCCCGCUUCAGCCGCUCGUCGGCAACACUAGAUACGGGUCUCGUCGUCUCGUUGGACACACCGCCCCCAAUCCACAGCCACGCACUCCUCCCUCCUCCCUCUCAAAGCCGCCACACCCAUUCCUCCCUUCCGCCUCCCUCCCCGGAUCCCUACCACCGUCACACGGCCCACACCCACUCGUCUCCUCCUCUCGCUCUUUAGCUUCCUCCUCCUUCCUGAUCUCCGCGUCGGCCGCGGCGCGAGAGGAGCGGUGGUGGCGGCAUCGAGUUGCGAACCCCGGGACCAGGUCUGGGGGUUUGGUUCCAAGGCGCCGACGGCUUCUCCGUCUAUGACGCCGGGGGUGAGUACACACCCCAGUCCCCUCCUCCUGCGCGAACCCUACGAGAGAGAGAGAGAGAGGAAGAUGAGAGGUAGGGAGAGAGAAUGACCGGCGUCGGCCUGCACCGGCGAGGAUGGGCGCGACCUGGAGGUUAGCCGCUGCUCGAUUCGCUCCUGGAUCGGGAACUGCGUCGAAGCUGGGGUUCGGGCGCGUUGCAUGGGAGGCUGCACUCCGCCUCUUCCUCGUGGUGCGGCGGACGGCGGCUCUUACGGUCGUGCGGCCGAUGGCAGCCUCAGCGGGUGGUCGACGACACUUGCAGCUGGUGCUCUACCCAUGGAUUCCGGCACAGCUCGAAAUGCUCAGGACAAAUUAGGCCUCGGCCAAUGGUGGAGAAGACAGAGUACAGGGACAAGCCGCUGGAGCACGUGUUCAUGGGAUGUUCGUGCGCAAGAUGCAGAAGUUCGCCGGAAGGAAGAAGAGCGGGCCGGGGAGGAUGAGGAGAAGGCGGGAUGCGAGGUGCUUGCACGCGCAGCAGCAGGAGGUCGUCUGUGAGGUGCUCCUCUGGAUGCUCCCUUCCGGCGCUGGGCCUAGGUGUUCAACGCCGCCCUCACCAUCCCCUUCUUCCAUUGGCUCAUCGGCCCGUCAGAGGUUAUUGAGGUGGAGGUCAACGGUGUGAGGCGGAGAAGUGGAGUUCUCAUAAAGAAACACAUGUGUGGCUGCAGGUAAAGUUGUCAAGUUGAUCUGGUGCUUGCUUGAGCCGUUGAUUACUGCUGCUUUGCUAAGGUUCAACGUCUUACUACAUGAGAAGUUUAUUCCAAUGCUUUCUCAAUCCCUUUACCAUGAUGACUACCAGAGGAACCUUCAAUGUGUAUAGAUGGUGAUGGAUAUGGGGACACACAAGAACUAGCGAACUUAAUACCAGAUGCCCUCAACUAUGAAUUCUUUAAUUAUUGGAGGCUUUCAUAUUCAUAUCAAUACAAGUUUGCAGUGUGAUGUUCCGUGAUUCCGGAUUGGGCGCACCUCGUUGUCGUGGAGAGCAUGAGUGGCUGGGUCUUCAUGGUGGGGUGGUCUGCAGGGGAGGGAAGGUUGCUGACGACAGGGGGAAGGAGGAGGCCGACGAGGAGGGUAAACAACAGGGUUAAGGGGCACAGCGAGCCCAGCAGGGGGAAAAAGCAGGGCGAGCGACGCCAGUGGGAGGAAGGAGCAGGGCGAGGCCUCGCGCAUCUGCAUGGUUGCAGUGUAAUGUGAAGAUUCCAAGGGAUAUCAAGCUUUAAAUUGGGAUCAUUUGCAAAGCGGAAAUAUAGAGAUCGACAUCUGAUGGGAAGGAACAUGUCGAAUAUAACAGCCAAACAAGGAAGGGACAUGAGGCUGUAAUAUCAUUUUCGUUCUCAUUUCUUGUAGGAAGUCACAAAUAGGAGUGAUGGUGGAAAUAUAACUGCCACUUUGUACCUUUAUGUUUUUCUGAAAGAACUUUGAGCUACCGUUAGUUUCUUUUCCUGGUUCGUAAUCGGUAUAUACAGUUACCACACAAUCAUGAUCACCAAUGUUCACAACUGUCUGAAUCGUGUGAUUCAAAGCAGAACCCAUAUGAUUGCCACCCAUGCAUGUAAUGUGUUAUCUGCAGUAUAUCUCAAUUUUGAAUGUGACAUGUCCUGUAUGUAUGUUAACUUCAGAUUUUUGUCAACCUCUUUGUUAUCUAAGUUUCCAUUAUUUUUUUGCUUGCUUCGAUCUUUCAAAUUUUGUGAUUGUUAGCAAUAUCGACUUUGUUAUCUUCACCAAGUGUACAGUUGCAUAGUA
RNAcentral lists this ribosomal RNA (2186 nucleotides) under Triticum aestivum (bread wheat). Its description in RNAcentral is "partial small subunit ribosomal RNA". The record is from RNAcentral. Lineage: Eukaryota; Viridiplantae; Streptophyta; Magnoliopsida; Poales; Poaceae.